AAGGAUCAUUAUUGAGAUUCUAUUUACACCUGUGAAUUUUACAAUUUGCUUGGUCGCAAGACCAACAACAUUUAACUAUAUUUUUAAUUUAGUCUGAAAAACAAAAAAUCAAAAGUUUCAACAACGGAUCUCUUGGUUCUCGCAUCGAUGAAGAACGCAGCAAAGCGCGAUAGGUAAUGUGAAUUGCAGACGUGAAUCAUUGAAUUUUUGAACGCAUAUUGCACCUUUCGGUAUUCUGAAAGGUAUACCUGUGCGAGCGUCAUUUCUUCUUCACACAGAGUUUUCUUAUCUAGAAAAUUCUUGUGUGUGCUGGAGUUAUGCUUAGCUCUCAAAGGAAUUAUAUAUAAGUACAUGUUAGACACAAUGUGCUUUAUCUAUUCUUUUGACCUCGUAUCAGGUAAGAGUACCCGCUGAACUUAA
Molecule: ribosomal RNA, 420 nt
Filed under: Wickerhamiella allomyrinae
Lineage: Eukaryota; Fungi; Ascomycota; Dipodascomycetes; Dipodascales; Trichomonascaceae
Description: eukaryotic LSU rRNA
Rfam family: 5.8S ribosomal RNA (bases 113-262)
Source: RNAcentral